GUGUCCUACGGGGCGCAGCAGUAGGGAAUCUUCGGCAAUGGGCGAAAGCCUGACCGAGCAACGCCGCGUGAAUGAAGAAGGCCUUCGGGUUGUAAAAUUCUGUUAUAAGGGAAGAAAGGUGAUAGGAGGAAAUGACUAUCAAUUGACGGUACCUUAUGAGAAAGCCACGGCUAACUACGUGCCAGCAGCCGCGGUAAUACGUAGGUGGCAAGCGUUAUCCGGAAUUAUUGGGCGUAAAGGGCUCGUAGGCGGUUCGUCGCGUCCGGUGUGAAAGUCCAUCGCUUAACGGUGGAUCCGCGCCGGGU
RNAcentral lists this ribosomal RNA (305 nucleotides) under uncultured bacterium. RNAcentral's name for it is "bacterial SSU rRNA". It matches the Rfam family "Bacterial small subunit ribosomal RNA", at positions 334 to 631 of the family's 1533-position model. The record is from RNAcentral.